ACACCUCAACUCUCAUGGUUUGCCAUGAUGAGCUUGGACUUUGGGGGUCUUGCUGACCUAUGGUCGGCUCCUCUCAAAUGGAUCAGCUUGCCAGUGUUUGGUGGCAUCACAGGUGUGAUAACUAUCUACGCUUGUGGUUCUCCACCAGGUAACCUUCAGCGAUGGAGGUUCGCUGGGGCUCACAAAUGUCUCUCCUCAGUGGGGACGGCUUUUUAAAC
RNAcentral lists this unclassified non-coding RNA (218 nucleotides) under uncultured Tomentella. RNAcentral describes it as "sequence contains ITS2". The record is from RNAcentral. Lineage: Eukaryota; Fungi; Basidiomycota; Agaricomycetes; Thelephorales; Thelephoraceae.